Molecule: long non-coding RNA, 369 nt
Organism: Planococcus citri (citrus mealybug)
Lineage: Eukaryota; Metazoa; Arthropoda; Insecta; Hemiptera; Pseudococcidae
Exons: 3
Source: RefSeq, a predicted model, not a curated record
CCAUACACAUAGCGUAGAUAAACGUACGAGUAGGUAACUUAUACUUCAGUGUAAAUAUGAAGUUUAGACUAAACAAUAAUUCUCCUAUACGAUAAAUUGCAAUAAUUAAUUUUCCGAUUAUGUUACGAAUUUAUAUAAACGAUCAAGUGCUAAAUACAUUUUUAUCUCAUGUGAGUAUUUUGGUAGCUAAAACUUUAGCAAUGGAGCUUUUGAUGAAGUGGCAAAUAUUGAAAUGUAAGCUAAAACAUAGAUCGAAAAAUGGAAGCAAAAGUAAACAAAACGAUGCACAAAUUUCUGAAAGAAUACAACGUAUUUCAAGAGCUCAUCUGAACGAUAUUGAAAAUAUCCCCAUAUUCAUAGCAAUAGCAU